AUGCAUCUGGUGCUAUCUUCACAGUUUAUGGACCUUCCAGCAUGGUCAUCCAAUCUUCUGCUCCCAUUGAAACAGCCAAACAAACCUCAGCACCAGUUUUGGCCACGGUUUUUCUGGAAUGUCAUGGAACUGAAGUGUGCAAUGCCUCGAUCUACAAAGCUACUGAGAGCAAAGGCAGCAGGAAGGUUCCACUUGGAUGCAGUAACCUGGCAAGACAGGGCUCAAAUCUACCCCUCACCGGCUGAGUGUCUUUGGAGGUGCCAUCACUUCAUAAGGGUCUAAUCCCUGGGGAAAGAGUAAAACAUAAUAUGGGACAGCCCUGAAUCCGUACCAUCCCAUUGCCAGUUAUGUGACUCAGGUGAGCCAGCCUCUCUGUGCCUCAGUCUCCCUAACUGUCCAAUUUGGAAAUGGUCUGAUGAGCUGAUACAUGUGCAGCCGAUACAUGAGCAACACUAUUACCUGUGGCUUCUCAAACCCAAGUGUGUGUUUUUGUGGUUCUCUCUGGAUUUAUUGUGGUUCCCCACAUUGUAGAGCCACUUACCCAAAACAAAAGACAACAGAGCAAUUUCCCAACCUCCUUUCCUGCAAGGGCACAGGUGCAUAACUUAGGUGACACCAAGCAAUGCACCUGCAUGAGACUUUGAGUUGUUCUCAAGGAGGCAGGCUGGGUGGGACAUCUGCCAGGGGGCAUGAAGAGCAACCGAGGCCACUGAGCAACAGUUCCCUGACCAGGCCAGUUCCACAUGGCUCUGGGAAUGGCUCCCCAAGGAACAACCUAGAACUUAGAGCUCACACACAUCUUUAAAUUUUUUCCUGCCCUAACUACUGGCUAAUACUGAUUCUGUGGUCUGCAACUAAGCACCCACCAACCUCCGAAAAUUCACUACCACCUUAGGCAUCCAAAUGGGAGCAAUUAGUAAUAUGUUAAAUGAGACUAGAUGUACAAAGCACCUAACUUUGUGUCUGCUUCUCUCCAUGAAAGACUUCUGGCGUCCCUCAGAAAAGAGCCAGGCUCUUUCAUGAAGCACAUGCCCUUUUCUGAGCUUUGCAACAAAGCCUGAUGGAUCAAGCCCCAGAUGUGUGCAAAGCCUCGUGGUGCCCUGUAUCUCAUGUUGUUGGUGUCUGGGAGAUUUAGGCUCAAGCAGACCCUAAUGUUAGCCAGCCUAACCUUAUUGUCUCAUUAUAAGAUUUUCCUCCAUAGCUAAUGAAGACCCUCCAAGCACUAAGUUCUGAGUUAAAUAGUUUAGGGAGCAUUAAAAAAAAAAAAAAGGUAGACGAUCCA
RNAcentral lists this long non-coding RNA (1282 nucleotides) under Vulpes vulpes (red fox). RNAcentral describes it as "lncRNA (ENSVVUG00000002117.1)". The record is from RNAcentral. Lineage: Eukaryota; Metazoa; Chordata; Mammalia; Carnivora; Canidae.